CGCUUUGGCAGUGUGGUUAGCUGGUUGUGUAGCCAAUCAUUGCUUGUGACAACUCACAGCCACUAUCUUCACUGCCGCCGCGA
Molecule: non-coding RNA, 83 nt
Organism: Drosophila erecta
Lineage: Eukaryota; Metazoa; Arthropoda; Insecta; Diptera; Drosophilidae
Source: Rfam